This is a long non-coding RNA of Vombatus ursinus (common wombat), 224 nucleotides long. RefSeq lists it as uncharacterized. The record is from RefSeq and is a predicted model, not a curated record. The transcript is spliced from 3 exons. Lineage: Eukaryota; Metazoa; Chordata; Mammalia; Diprotodontia; Vombatidae.
CCGGGGCCCUGCUGGACUGCAGCGGGCUGGGGCUGGCCGCGCUGCCCGAGGAGCUCCCCGCGUGGACCGUCACACUAAACCUGAGCAACAACAAGUUGACAGAAGUCAAUCCUGCUGCUUUUGAGCACUUGGUGAACCUCCAGGAAGUGCACCUGAAUAACAAUGAGCUAACAAUCAUCCCUUCCCUGGGCACUGCCUCCUCCCGAAUCUUGUCUCUCUAUCUG